Molecule: ribosomal RNA, 253 nt
Filed under: uncultured bacterium
Lineage: Bacteria
Description: partial 16S ribosomal RNA
Rfam family: Bacterial small subunit ribosomal RNA
Source: RNAcentral
GACGUAGGGCGCGAGCGUUGUCCGGAUUUAUUGGGCGUAAAGAGCUCGUAGGCGGCUUGUCGCGUCGUCUGUGAAAUCCCGCGGCUCAACUGCGGGCUGGCAGUCGAUACGGGCAGGCUGGAGUUCGGUAGGGGAGACUGGAAUUCCUGGUGUAGCGGUGAAAUGCGCAGAUAUCAGGAGGAACACCGGUGGCGAAGGCGGGUCUCUGGGCCGAUACUGACGCUGAGGAGCGAAAGCCAGGGGAGCAAACGGG